AGUGGAUGGGGAGCAACCUAGUUGUGCGUGUGUAAAGGUAGUGCCAAGAAAAGCGAUGAUCAUGUUGAAAAUCAAUUCCCGGUACCCGAAACCGACACAGGUGGGCAAGUAGAGAAUACUAAGGGGCGCGAGGUAACUCUCUCCAAGGAACUCGGCAAAAUGACCCCGUAACUUAGGGAGAAGGGGUGCCACCGAGAGGUGGUCGCAGUGAAGAGGCCCAGGCGACUUUUAGCAAAAACAUAGGUCUCUGCAAACUCGAAAGAGGAGGUAUAGGGGCUGACGCCUGCCCAGUGCCGGAAGGUUAAAGAAGUUGGUCAGUCUUAGGAUGAAGCUAGCGACUGAAGCCCCGGUGAACGGCGGCCGUAACUAUAACGGUCCUAAGGUAGCGAAAUUCCUUGUCGGGUAAGUUCCGACCCGCACGAAAGGCGUAACGAUCUGGGCGCUGUCUCGGAGAGAGGCUCGGCGAAAUAGGAUUGUCUGUGAAGAUACGGACUACCUGCAUUUGGACAGAAAGACCCUAUGAAGCUUUACUAUAGCUUGGAAUUGUGUUCGGGCUUCCUGUGCGCAGGAUAGGUGGGAGGCGUAGAAGGUAUUCUUGUGGGGAUACUGGAGCCAACGGUGAGAUACCACUCUCAGGAGGCUAGAAUUCUAACUUAAUUAAGGACAGUUUCAGGUGGGUAGUUUGACUGGGGCGGUCGCCUCCAAAAAGGUAACGGAGGCGUACAAAGGUUCCCUCAGACUGGUUGGAAAUCAGUCGAAGAGUGCAAAGGCAGAAGGGAGCUUGACUGCGAGAAGUACAGUUCGAGCAGGGUGGAAACACGGUCUUAGUGAUCCGACGGUGCUGUGUGGAAGGGCCGUCGCUCAACGGAUAAAAGUUACUCUAGGAUAACAGGCUGAUCUCCCCCAAGAGUUCACAUCGACGGGGAGGUUUGGCACCUCGAUGUCGGCUCAUCGCAACCUGGGGCGGAAGUACGUCCCAAGGGUUGGGCUGUUCGCCCAUUAAAGCGGUACGUGAGCUGGGUUCAGAACGUCGUGAGACAGUUCGGUCCAUAUCCGAUGUAGGCGUGAGAAUAUUGAGAGGAGCCUUCCUUAGUACGAGAGGACCGGGAAGGACGCACCGCUGGUGUACCUGUUAUGAUGCCAAUUGUAAACGCAGGGUAGCCAAGUGCGGAGAGGAUAACCGCUGAAAGCAUCUAAGUGGGAAGCCCACCUCAAGAUGAGUAUUCUGGUGUAAGGUCACGGGAAGACGACCCGUAAAUAGGCACGAGGUGGAAGUGCAGAGAUGUAUGAAGCCGAAGUGUACUAAUAGACCGUCGGCUGGACC
Molecule: ribosomal RNA, 1324 nt
Filed under: metagenome
Description: bacterial LSU rRNA
Rfam family: Bacterial large subunit ribosomal RNA
Source: RNAcentral